RNAcentral lists this long non-coding RNA (1160 nucleotides) under Salarias fasciatus (jewelled blenny). RNAcentral describes it as "lncRNA (ENSSFAG00005004135.1)". The record is from RNAcentral. Lineage: Eukaryota; Metazoa; Chordata; Actinopteri; Blenniiformes; Blenniidae.
UGGCUAAACUGUCCACAAUUAAAAACAUCGAUCCAUAUGACCUGAAAACCAGAGACUGAAGCUCCGAGACCGCAUCGCUGCCUCCGAAUUCGGCGCCGGACAUCACAAACUGCCUGGUUUACGGUGUCAGCGCCUACACAUGUGAGCAGUUCGGAAAUUAUAAAUCUCUGGAAGCGCACGGACAUUUGACGAAUGGCUGGGUGCAGGAUGUGUUCGCCUCUCGACCAAAGGGCUGGAACAACACAGUCGUGACUGCAAAGGUCUUGCACUCCCACCGUCUGAAGGAUCCACCACUGAAGGCCUGGGCCGUCACGGAGCCAUCAGGAGCCAGAUCAUCUGGUCACUGCACAUGUAUGACUGGAACAGCAGAGACGUGCACACAUGUUGCAGCUAUGUUGUUUAAGCUGGAGGCGGUUGUCAGAUGCAGAGAGACAACAACUGUGACUGCUCUCUAAAAAGAAAUGUCUAGACUCAACAAAAAAAAAAAAAUCAACACAACAGUUUGCAUUAGUCUUUUUAAGUUAUGGCAACCUCAGAAAUUACAUUGAACCAACAAACUAUAUUACUUUGAGUGAAUUCAUUUUUUGUCAUCAGUCAAAGAUCAUUUUAAGUACUGCUUACUUAAUAAAUGCAAGAAUUUUAAGUUGAUAACUCAAAUAAAUUGGCUGCCCACUUUGAAGUUGUUAAAAUGGCCAGUUUCUGUUGCCUUAAUGUUGUGAGUAUUUGGGAAUACGAUGCUGUCAUGGGCACUGUGGAAUGAUUCUGCACAGACAGUAUCAGGCUUUUAAUAAGCCCAGAGGCAACUGGGAACUGCUCUGUUGAACUGUGUAAGUUUUAUAGUAGUAGCAGGAGCAGAUUAAAUGCUCAAUACUUCUCAUUCCAGCUUUGACACAAAAAGUAACUAAACUAUUUAGAUUAAGUGAACAACAAGAACACAACCAAACACAACUACCAAACACUAUUAACAUCAGAACAUCGAAAUAAAUAAUGAAAUCAUUGUUUAAAUCUGGAAUAUCUCAUCCCAAACUCCCAUGAUGCAUUGCGGCACUACCAUCAUCAUUGUUAAAUUCUUCAAAGAGCCUGUUUCCUUUAUGCUGUGACCAACUCUCACCAUGCCGACGUGGUGUCCUUACCCUACUAAAAAUGAAUUUUAGUCACCA